RNAcentral lists this ribosomal RNA (527 nucleotides) under Salmonella enterica. RNAcentral's name for it is "bacterial LSU rRNA". It matches the Rfam family "Bacterial large subunit ribosomal RNA", at positions 690 to 1215 of the family's 2925-position model. The record is from RNAcentral. RNAcentral also lists the same sequence under 4 other names. Lineage: Bacteria; Pseudomonadati; Pseudomonadota; Gammaproteobacteria; Enterobacterales; Enterobacteriaceae.
GGGCGUUAAGUUGCAGGGUAUAGACCCGAAACCCGGUGAUCUAGCCAUGGGCAGGUUGAAGGUUGGGUAACACUAACUGGAGGACCGAACCGACUAAUGUUGAAAAAUUAGCGGAUGACCUGUGGCUGGGGGUGAAAGGCCAAUCAAACCGGGAGAUAGCUGGUUCUCCCCGAAAGCUAUUUAGGUAGCGCCUCGUGAAUUCAUCUCCGGGGGUAGAGCACUGUUUCGGCUAGGGGGCCAUCCCGGCUUACCAACCCGAUGCAAACUGCGAAUACCGGAGAAUGUUAUCACGGGAGACACACGGCGGGUGCUAACGUCCGUCGUGAAGAGGGAAACAACCCAGACCGCCAGCUAAGGUCCCAAAGUCAUGGUUAAGUGGGAAACGAUGUGGGAAGGCCCAGACAGCCAGGAUGUUGGCUUAGAAGCAGCCAUCAUUUAAAGAAAGCGUAAUAGCUCACUGGUCGAGUCGGCCUGCGCGGAAGAUGUAACGGGGCUAAACCAUGCACCGAAGCUGCGGCAGCGACACU